UAUCACUACAGAAAAGAAGAACACAAUCGGGAUCUGUGCACCAUAUAAAGACAUCAGUGAGACAGAGAUGCCACUAACUAAAUGUUUUUCUUCGGUUUUUAAGAAAAUAUUUGCAUUUCUGAAACGAUAUUCUUUUGUAUUCAUUUUUCUAUUGAGUCUUUUGUUAAUCGGAUUUGAAGAGUUCCUGGAAGCAAAAGUUUUCUCAUGCCCGUGCAGACAUGAUCUGAAUGUACAACUAACGGCGUGCGUCUUCAUCGGACCUGCUCUCUUUAUUUUCGAACUACUCUUCCUCUUUUUAAGGCCUUUUAGAGAGAAAUGCAGUCAUUUUUCUGAAGGAGCAGAUGAUGAUACUCAGCAGAACUGUCCUAAAGCUUUCACAUCAUGUCUGAUUCCACCUAUAAUGUGGGCCAUCAUUUUGUUACUCGAUGGAGAUUACUUUGCUUGUGCCAUGACAUAUUGGAAGGGAAUUUCCACAUUUGACAGUCAGCUCAACAGAUCAUGGUGUAAACCUAUCGAAAAGUUCAGAAAUGUGACAGCGCUUCGAAAUUUGACUCAAACACAUAUACAUCAAUCUCAGAUAUAUGGUUAUGGUGUGAGCACGGUCUUCAUUGUCUUUCCAAUUAUCUGUGUGGGAAUUAUUGACUGCUGUGGAAAAUCUGCCUGCUGCUCCAGAGCUGGACGUGGCUGAACACAAAUGGACACAACCAUGAACAACACACUUUCCAAACUGCUUAAAAAAGGGGCACCGAUCUAUCAGUAUUAGUAUCUAUCUUACAUAUUAAUGGAUCAUUAUAUCAUAUUAAUGCAACUCCAAAAGAGGAACAUGCCUCAUCUUCCCUCCCUACUUAAUGUGAUCAAUUUCAAAAGCGAAAGUGAAAGUAAAAAACACAAAAAAAGCGAUUGCAUUAGCGAUUUCAGAUUGCACGCUUCUCACUCGAACCAGACACCCAUGUGACUUGAUGGCAUUAUAUGCUGAGCUAACAAUAACACAGCACAGAAAAUGAAAGAACAACUGAUGCCCAGUUCCUCCAUGAGUGGUUUAAAAUCGUCCAGAAUUUGUUGUUUUGGUCCUUAUAACGUAGGCUACAGUGUGCUGAAUGAAGCAGUCUUUGUAAACUCGCAAAAAAAAUUAUUACUAAACCUACA
Long non-coding RNA from Carassius gibelio (silver crucian carp), 1146 nucleotides. RefSeq lists it as uncharacterized. Lineage: Eukaryota; Metazoa; Chordata; Actinopteri; Cypriniformes; Cyprinidae. The transcript has 3 exons. The record is from RefSeq and is a predicted model, not a curated record.